GGGGCUAUAGCUCAGUUGGUAGAGCAUCUGCUUUGCACGCAGAGGGUCAGCGGUUCAAUCCCGCUUAGCUCCA
Molecule: transfer RNA, 73 nt
Filed under: Enterobacteriaceae endosymbiont of Donacia thalassina
Lineage: Bacteria; Pseudomonadati; Pseudomonadota; Gammaproteobacteria; Enterobacterales; Enterobacteriaceae
Description: tRNA-Ala
Rfam family: tRNA
About the family: Transfer RNA (tRNA) molecules are approximately 80 nucleotides in length. Their secondary structure includes four short double-helical elements and three loops (D, anti-codon, and T loops).
Source: RNAcentral